Non-coding RNA from Paramuricea clavata, 890 nucleotides. NCBI's taxonomy places the organism in Eukaryota, Metazoa, Cnidaria, Anthozoa, Malacalcyonacea, Plexauridae. The record is from the annotation of a GenBank genome assembly.
CAAAAAUAAACUAUAGUUUUUUAAGCCAAAACCUAUAGUUUUAAAAAGCUAUAGUAUUUUGGAACAAAAACAUAGUUAUGAAAACUAUAGUUUUGACUAAAAACUAUAGUUAAAAAAACUAUACUAGUUUAGUUGAAAAACUAUAGUUUCUGAAACAAAUAUUUUGGUAUACCAUGCAUGCAGCACAUCACCACCUAGCACAUGAAAUUUGUUCAUCUGAUAACAUUAUUUUAUUAAUAUAAUAAAUAUAACAAGCUGUUUGCAUAAUAAUAAACUAUACAGCUAAUUCAAUUAAGGUUGUCUUUCCAAAACCUUAAUAAUAAGGUUGUCUUUCCAAAACCUUAAGGUCCGUUUACACGGGGAUUUUUGCUGCGAUUUUCUUCUGAUGGAUGUGAAGAAGUGGGUGAGUUAUAAAUGUACCAGGUUAUGAAAUUUCAUAACAAGGUCAUUAAGUAAUCUACUCCUUCACAUCCUCCAAAAGGAGAAAAUUGCAGCAAAAAUCACCCGUGUAAACGGGCCUUUAAACCUUAAACUCUGAGCAUGCAAGGGAUGAUGGGUUGGUUUUCAAAUAUUUGGCCCGUAAUUAAACUUAGAGAAUUGCCUUUGCAGGAAUUGUGUUUUCUACUGUGCAUCUUCUAUGUCUCUUAGGCAUUCUUGCAAAGCCAAUUAACCCAUUGAGUGGCGAUGCACCCUACUUUAGUAUUUUACUCUGUCUAACGCCAGACGAUUUUACUCGUCAAGGGGAGAGCACUGGCUCUUAAUGGGUUAAUUUGCUUAUCUGCCCAUGUGUCUAGUUAACCCAUUGAGUGGCGAUACACCCUGAUGCACCUUACUUUAGUAUUUUAAUUACUCUAUCUAACACCAGAGUAUUUUACUCUGUCUAACGCCAG